Carassius auratus (goldfish) is the source of this 481-nucleotide long non-coding RNA. RefSeq lists it as uncharacterized. NCBI's taxonomy places the organism in Eukaryota, Metazoa, Chordata, Actinopteri, Cypriniformes, Cyprinidae. The transcript has 4 exons. The record is from RefSeq and is a predicted model, not a curated record.
AUUCAGAAGAAAUCGCGAGCGUUCCAAAGGUUCAGACUCGCUCCGGUUCUCCAGGCUGUGCGCGAGCGCGCGUGAGAGAGAGAGCUGCUUUAUUUAUCAGAGGAGAGGACAACAUUCGUCCGUUUAGCGUAAAUUUUAUGGUAGUUUCUCCUGUUUCAUAUUUAUAUUAAGGUUUGUAAAACAAAAACAGGGUUGCUAUUCUAGCUGAGCUGGAUAAGGAGAAGAGACGCCUGAUACAGAGUCAGUCUAUGAAUAACCCAGGAGCCAGCAUCCCCCUCUCUCGACCAGCUGUGAAGGAGUUCAGGGAUCAGGCCGAGCAGCAGCACAGCAGAAAGCAGCUUUACAGAUCUUUUUCCCGUCUGGGACUUUCCCCCUCUUCCCAAAAGCCACGGCUCCGUUCAGAUCCUCCUCGCUGAAGAAGUGCUCGAACAGCAGGUGGAAGAGUCUCAUGCUGUCCUGCCGGGACUCCUGCAGCAUGGAC